This 45-nucleotide non-coding RNA is filed under the name Schistosoma mansoni. The record is from RNAcentral. Lineage: Eukaryota; Metazoa; Platyhelminthes; Trematoda; Strigeidida; Schistosomatidae.
AUCCAUCUGACGAGUCCCAAAUAGGACGAAACGCGCGUUCUGAAU